GCCUGGUUAACGAAUAUUGUGUUCUGGUUUUGCUGGGAGAGUCUGCGUUUGUGAGUCCACUUCAGCUUUAUCUGAUUACUUGGCAACGUUAAACUCCAUCAUUCUUCCCUCAGAAGUGCCUGAAGAGAUCUGUCCCAAGUGUGUCCUGAGAGUGUCCAGAGCACUCUUCAUCGCCAAAGGGACAGAUGCAAAAUUGGCUGGCCCACUGAGCGGAGUGCCUCUGUUGCAGAUUCAUUUGGAGUUAUUCCCUUUGCCUAUAAAACCUUGUUCCUGUGGAAGCAGUGACUUACCUACCCCCUGAUUGGUGAAUUUGCAGUUCGAAAGUCUUCUUUUCUCUUCCUCCUGCUGAGUUCUACCUGACUGCAGACAUAUGAAACUUUAUCAUAGACCAGUUUAUGAGGCACAGCCCAGUGGAUCCCUUGGCCAUACAAGUAGAAAUAAAGCUUCUUCUACGAAAUUCUACAUUUGGAACACCAUGGAAGUCAAGUUCCUUGGCAUCUUUGUGGAGGAUAGAAAAAGCAACAAGAGCGGGGUCAGACCUUCCUCAUAAAAACUCUAAGGACUUCAGUUGUAAGAGCCUCCCAAUGUCAGCGUCCAUUAAGAAUGGCUCGUGGAAGCUGGUGUCCUUGACUUAUCACGUUCCUUCUCCUAAAUUGACUGUAGUAGGUACUAUAAUACCUAUACAGUGGGGCCGCACUUUCUCUCAGAUAUUAAGGUAUUGGCCUCUGGCUUCUUCC
This 737-nucleotide long non-coding RNA is filed under the name Felis catus (domestic cat). RNAcentral describes it as "lncRNA (ENSFCAG00000044259.2)". The record is from RNAcentral. Lineage: Eukaryota; Metazoa; Chordata; Mammalia; Carnivora; Felidae.